AUUUAGAUUUUUCCAGACUUCUUUGGAACCUGUUCUCACAUCUUGGGCACCGGGGAUGCAGACAUGAGGAGAUGCAGUUCUAGUUUGAGCUCGCCAUUAAUUUUCUGGUUCUCUUCCUCAGGUACUCAGGAGUCUUGUGCUGAAAUCAAAACCGCAACACCUUGUUGCUGGCUGUCUUGGUGUUAAAGCUCAUGAGGGAACCCCUGGCUUGCUGGGCUUCAGAACAAAAUGAGGGCCUCUUUGACCGGAUUUUAUACCUUAGUCCCCAGUUGCUAAUGGAAGAGGACAGUCUACAAAAGAAGAGAAAGCGUCAUUCCUGGGACUUUCAGUUACUGAAAUCACGGUGCAGAGCGCAAAGUGAGAGAAGAUUCUCUCAAGGAUCGGGGUAUAUCAUUUUCCAGUUAAUAAAAUCUGCCAGUGGACCCAGGGGAAGCAAUCAUGUGAGAUACCUGGAUUGGUUUACUGGACCUGGCACAGCAUUGUAACAACCACUAGGGGGCCACUUCAAAAUGCUGCCCUGCACCUGUGCAGGGGGUGGGGCUGCUUUGUUUUCCAAAAGGGGUUUAAGGUCUGCUUGAAAAUUUUUUAAAAAUUAAAAAGAAACAAAUAACAAUGAGGUCCACGUCAUAUCACUUUUUGUUAUAUAUACCUGAUAAGAUAUGUUAAAUUAAUGGACAUUUUGAGUUAAUUCUGAGUGUUCUGAUAACUGCCAAAAUGGGAAGUAUCUUGACUUCAUGGUGAAUAACAACAAGAAUCAUACAAGCUCAUCUGCAGAGACAUAGUGCCACUUCAGUGUCACAAACUCAAACACGCACCCAUUGACUCUUGGCUACAAGAGAUAUGGGAUAACAUACCUGGCAAAACUUUCAGUUAGGAUUUUGUAGACAGCACAUUCAUGUUGCUGAAAUGGUGUUUUGUAUCCGUUGUUUGUGAAAGUUGUUUAAUGGCAUUAAAGCAUAGCUCAGGGAAGCCAUCGGCUCAGGUAUAUUGCUUCCUAGUGAUCGUGCUUAAUGCAAGGAUUAAAUUCAGAGGAUUUAUGAGAAUGGCUGUGGAAAUGCCCAUUACGUUAUUUCUCUGACAUAGACAAGGCUUAAAAUGAUCCAUUGGUAAAUACUGAGAGUUUACUUUUGAUAUUUAUCUGAUAAAAUGCUGGUCCCAAAAUACGUAUUUUUUUGGAUAGAUGUUUUGUACAUAGAAAAAAAAAAAACAUCUAAAACUGAUCCAGCUGCAUUUUAUGUCCACUACAAGGAAGUUAAGCCUGAAAUCCAUGCUAGUUUUCAGAGGGAUCCUCACUGGCCUAUGAUUUCUGUCUCCUAGGACUUUGUUUUUUGAUCCUUUUAUUUUACUUAAAUUUUUAUAGAAACUAGAUAAACAGCCUCCGUCAGCCAGGAAAAUCUGGAAAUUUAAAUAUAUUUAUACUUCUUGCCCAAAUCCACAGUUCAUCAAAAAUUGAUCAAGAUGUUUUUAUAGAGGAAAUGUCAACAUAGUACAUGUAGUUUUUUUUUUUUUUUUUUGACAGGCAGAGUUAGACAGUGAGAGAGAGAGACAGAGAGAAAGGUCUUCCUUCCAUUGUUUUUCUCAAGCUAUUUUUUAUUUUUUCAACUUUUAUUUAAUAAAUAUAAAUUUUCAAAGUACA
Molecule: long non-coding RNA, 1636 nt
Organism: Oryctolagus cuniculus (rabbit)
Lineage: Eukaryota; Metazoa; Chordata; Mammalia; Lagomorpha; Leporidae
Source: Ensembl